UGGCUUGAUUAAUCAAGCCUGCUAUAUCUUAAAGUGAUAUCCACGUCAACUGCCUCAGUGGGUCAGUCCCCUGUACCUAUGGAAUAUGUAACUCUGUGGAGAAACAGUCUCUUCACUCAAA
This is a long non-coding RNA of Etheostoma spectabile (orangethroat darter), 121 nucleotides long. RefSeq lists it as uncharacterized. The transcript is spliced from 3 exons. Lineage: Eukaryota; Metazoa; Chordata; Actinopteri; Perciformes; Percidae. The record is from RefSeq and is a predicted model, not a curated record.